Molecule: long non-coding RNA, 12798 nt
Filed under: Ananas comosus (pineapple)
Lineage: Eukaryota; Viridiplantae; Streptophyta; Magnoliopsida; Poales; Bromeliaceae
Description: long non-coding RNA (ACOM_LNC012666)
Source: RNAcentral
UUAUUUAAUUAUUUAAUUUAUAUUGGUCAAUAAUAUUCUAACUUUAAAAUUUAAACUUGUUAUUUAAUUAAUAAAUUUAUAGUUGCGAGAAUCAUAUAGAAUAUAAUUACUAAAUUUGUUAAGGUAAAUAGUGUAUUCAUAUUUUAAAAUUAAAAUAUCAUUGAUUUAGUUAAAUCAAACAAAUUGAAAAAAUUCGAUUGUGAAAUUAAAAUUUAGAAAGUUGAAUAUUAUUGACCAAUAUAUCCAAAUAAAAUAUAACUAUAAAUCUAAGAAAAUCCUCUAAGUCAGGAAAGCAAUAAUUGCAAAAAGGUGCUAAUGCUCACUAGAUAGACCUUUUGAAGGAGGUAUUCUUUACUGACAAUUAAUAUUGUAUAAUUUGUAUACAAGGUGUUAGGAUUUGGUUAGAUUUAUAGUUAUAUUUUAUUUGGAUAAAAAUUAAUAUUUAAAUUUUUAAGAUAAAUUAAGAUUUAAAUAUUAAUUAGAGGAUAAACCUAACUAGAUUAGGAUUAAUAUUUAAAUUUAUUAGAGAUUGAUUAAGAUAGAUUUAGAUAUUAAUUAAAGUAUGAAUCCUAAAUAUAUUAGGAUUAGGGUACGUUUUAAGUUGAGCAUUAUAAAUAGACAUUGUGGCUCUCUUUCUUGAGUGUAGUACGGCUGGAACCAUUGGGGUGUCGUACCAGAGAGAGAAAAAGAGAGAGAGAGAGUUAUUUUAGUGCACCUUGUGCACGGGUGCACGCGGAGAGGUCUUUUUUGUGGGUUUAUAGAAGGCGAGAGAAGGGUAGAAGAGAUUCAAGAAAAAGGGAUCGGGUUGUAGCUAUUCUGUACAGAAGAGGAGUCAGGUGUAAUAUUCUCUUAUUUAAACUUUUAUCUUUUAUGAUUGUAUCAGUUUUUGCUGAGGAGACGGGUUUAUGGUAAAAAUUCGAUUUGACGUUUUCGCUGCGGAAUCCCAACAAUCGAUACCGGAUCCACAGCAGUCGGUAUCGGAGCGGAUUGCUGAUUCACGAGAUCCGGUACCGGGGCGAGUACCGGAUUCCCAACACAAGGUGCUAUUGGGAUCCGUUAAACUUUUUCGACACAAUUUGAGGAUGAAGAUAUCUAUACACAAAUCGUACAUUCAACAGCCAAUCAAGCUAUGCCUCCAAAUCCGGCAAUCUGCCCGAUCCGAUUUAGGAUAGAGUUCGCAAAGAAGCAAUCAGUUAAGACUAUGCCACACCAUUAUUAAUUGGAGGAUCUCAUGCAUGUUGUUAAUUAGUUGUUACACUUUCCAUUAUAAUAGAUACAUUUCGAAACAUUCUUAAUGCUGAAUUAAUUGAUAUUCAUGUUGACGUACGUACGUGCAUUUUCUCGCAAUAGGAUAGUAAAAAUCUACGACAUGCACGUGUUCUUCCGCUAUGAGUACAUUUGAAAAACCCCUCCUUAAGACAAAAGGUUUGGGAGAAUUAUGAAAGGAAAAGGUUCCAACCUAGCUAGCGAAAACAAAAGAAAAAAAACGUACGGAUACAUAGAACACCAUGAAAAGCAGAGAGAAUCAAAAGGCCCCUCACUUUCCCGGACACGUGGUUCCGGGCCCAAUGUCGGAAAAGGAAGAUGCAUCAUGCAUGUGAAUGGAAAAGACAAUCUUAUUCUGGAGUCCGUACAAUGUAAGAUGGACGCUCAAGAUCUAGAUCGUAAAAGCUGAUCAGGUCCAAUUAGUAUUCAUAAAUAUUUUAUUUAAUAUAUUCAUUUAAUAAACUCAAAAAAUCUAUAUAUUUUAUAAGUAAAGAAAGCAUUUAAAUAUUUAGAAUAAAAUAUUAUAUUUAGUAUUCAAGUCAUUUUUUAGAAUAAGAUGAAUCAUCUCGUAGAUAUAUAAAAUAUAUCAUUGUACUAAAUCAUGAAUCUUAAUACUUUUUAAGAAGUCAAAAAAUAAAAAUUUUUAUUUAUAAUCAUACGAAAAUUAUUUAUAUAAAAUAAAUAAUAUUUGAAUAACUUAUUGGAACAUCAAAAUAAGAGCUUACCCUAAUACAGUCUGACAAUAGUAGAACUACCCUAAUACAGUUCGCGGAUGACACCUUUUUCUUCUUUGCGGCUAGAAAAAGUUAUAUGAGAAACCUAAGGCUGAUGUGGCACCUGUUCGAGUGGGCCUCAGAGUUGAAAAUAAACAGAGAAAAGUCAGAACUAUUUUACCUUGGACAGGUUGAGGGCAAAGCGGCAAAACUGGCAAAAUUGCUCGAGUGUCGAGUUGGGACCCUUCCUACCACUUAUCUUGGGUUUCCCCUUUCCCAUAAACCCCCAACAAAGGAGGUUUGGAGAGGGAUCAUUCAGAAAAUCCAGAAUAGAAUCGACGGAUGGCAAGCUAAACUCUUAACUAGAGGGGGUAGACUUAUCCUGACUAACGCUGUCCUCACAAAUCUGCCGCUUUACUUCUUGUCAGUGUUCAAAGCACCUAAAUGGGUGAUCAAACGUAUUGAAGCCUUACAUAGAGACUUCUUCUGGAGCGGCGAGAGUAACUCUGCAGGUAAGGGAUGUUUGGUGGCAUAGAGGAACGUCUGUGUUAGCAAAGCGGAAGGUGGGCUGGGUAUUUUGGACGUAGCAAUAAUGAAUCAGGCACUACUGGUCAAAUAGUGGUGGCGAUUUUAUACAGCACCCCACCUUCAAUGGACCAAGAUUAUCCGCGCUCUAUAUUACAAUAGAAGGCUACCCAUGAGGGAGGGAAAUUCCUUUAGACCACACUCAUAUUGGUGGAAGGGAGUCAUUCUUACUAAAGAUAUUUUCAAAUGGGGAAUCCAAUAUAAGUUGGGUGAUGGGAGCUCUAUUGACUUUUGGUUGGACCGAUGGUGUGGGGAAAUGACCUUAAUUUCGUCUUUUCCGGAAAUCCACGCGAUGACGGAUCGCAAGCUACUAACGGUCAAGGAUUGCUUCGGAAGUGAUGAUUGGAAUUGGAAUAGAAUUCUGGGUGGUGUAAGCGACGCGGCGAACAUUAAUACAGGACCGGGUUCCAAUCUAUUAGCGCUAAGGGAAAGGGUUGGCAACUAUAGAGUAGUGCAAAGUCCUGACAUGAUUGGGUGGAGAUGGAGUAACAACGGAGUAUUCUCGGUCAAAUCGGUGUACAGAGCGUUGAGUGAUGGGGGUACGAAGGAUGGGCGCGCUUCCAAGAUCUGGAAGCUCCAAAUUUCCCUCAAGGUUAAAGUGUUCUGUUGGCUGAUCCUUAAGAAGAGACCUCUUACAGCUGAUAACCUUAUGAAGAAAGGUUGGACCGGAGAUCCUGGCUGUGUGCUGUGUAGGAUAGAUGAGGAGACAGUGGACCGCCUGUUCUCUCAAUGCGUUGUUACCAAAUUCUGUAUGGUGAUGAUUCGAGAGGGAGUGCAGGCUGGGGAGAUAGGAGAAGAUGUACGUUACAUCUGGGAUAGGUGGUCGGCCAAGAAAGGGCUGCAUAGUAAACAGAAUAGCUUACCUGAAUUGAUCGCUUGCUGGUGGACCAUUUGGAAGGGCAGGAACGAUUUGAUCUUUCGAAACGUCCAUUUUGACCCUGUUGUGAGUGUUCAUAGGAUUAAGCAGCUACUGAAGUCCUGGGAACCCCUCUUACGACCAGUCCGUCAGUUUUUUUUUUNAAUGCAUGGAUAUUAAAAUCAGUUAGUCGAAAAUGGAAGGGUUAUAAGUAUGAACUUAAAGCAAAAUAUAAGGUAAAUGAUCAAACAGAGCAACAAAUUGCAAGUACUGUACCAAAUGAAAUUAUGCCUCAACAAUGGAUUGAUCUUGUUCGCAUAUGGUUCUCGGAGAAAAGUGAGGUAACAUACUAGCAUUAUCAAUGCCUUUAAUAAUGCUACUAAGAUUUUUUUUCCCUCCUUGUUAGUUGAAUUUCUAAAUUUUCACAAAAUAUUUAUAUAAUAAAUUUGUUACUUCAACAGUUGUAUUCUCGGAUAGGAAAGAUGGCACGUGCAAAUGUUAAAACUCCUCAUACAACUGGAUCAAUGAGCUUUGCUAGAAAAAGAUAAGAAUUUGUAUGUUCUUUCUUUUAUUAUUCCAUUUUUUUGUUGAAAUAGGCAUAUAAAAUUUUAUGAUGAAUGUAUUUAUAGUGUAUAAUUCUUUAUUUUCUUUUAUAUUAUAUGAUAAAUUUCUGUGCUCACUAAAUUAUUUGUGUGAUGGUGGUAGGAGGAUGAGAACCAUAGAGAACCGUCUCGUAUUCAGUUUUUUGCAUCGACUCAUAAACAAAAAGACGGAAAUUAUAUUAAUGAUACAUCAAAGAGACUUGUGGUGCGUAUAUGUGUGCAUUAAUAACUUGUCAAGUAUUAGUAGUCCUAAUUAAGUUGUUGACAUAUUACUGUCUUUUUUCUAUUUGUAGGAGAAAUGCAUGACUGAAGUUGCUAAACGUUCGGUAUCCUCCGAAUCGCCUGAUGCAAUUUUUCAAUUGGAAAAUGAAGUUUUCGGUAAACUAAUAGGAAAAGAGCAAUAUGGACGAGUUAGGGGCUAUGGACUUGGACCUUCGCCGACGCAAGUGUUUGGGCCACAAGCGCAAUUUAGGUUUAUGGACAAUGCAGAACAAAAUAGUGUGGAAUUGCAAUCACAAAUGAAAACUAUGCAAAACAAUUAUGAGUCCAAGUUGGCGGAAAUGCAACAGAACUAUGAUACCAAGUUGGCCGAGAUGCAACAAGAUUUUCAAUCUCAAUUGAAUCAAGUCGCAUCUAUGCUCCAGAUCUUUGCAAGAUCAUCAAACAAUUUAGGUGGUGUAGCUUCUCAGUUUCCUGAUUUUGCUAGAUCCUCAGACUCGGGCAAUGCAAGAGAAAAUCCUGCUCCAGAUAUUUGGUUUACUUAAACUUUUGAGCUAUGCUAUAAUUAAGAUCCAUUUUGAGACGAAUCUGUCAUGUUUUGGUAAUAUUUUGCUUAUAAUGUAUGACCAUGACUUGUUAGCUUUAUAGUAUUAUUAGUGAACAUGUUUCUUUCUAUUAUGAAUGAAUGUAUUUUUUCUUUUAGUUUUGUUUGCUUCUAUAUAUGUUUUUUGUCCUCUGGAAAAGUUGUAAGUUUGUGCUUCAAGUCAUAAAGUAUUGUGUAUGAGUUUUAUAUCCAAUGAAAAAAAAAUUAAAUUUAAUAUCAUCUAAAUGAGGUUUUUAUAUAUAAAAUGUUGACGCUUUGAAGCAUCAGCAGAUUAAAUGAUUUAAUUAUAUAAUUUAAAAUCUUGUCAUUUUAAGAGUCAACAAUUCAAUAAAUUAACUACGUUUUGAAGCGUCACAAGUCCAAAAUAUUGUGGCGCUUUUUGUUGUCGUUAUGUAAGAGGGAAAAGUAGCUGGGCAGUCUAAAAUAAAGACGCUUAUUAGCGUCUUCAUUUGAGUAUCGACGCUAUCCCCUCGCGUCAGCUUAUUUCUCUCGACUUUCAACAUCCUGACGCAUCUGACGAUGCUUUUGACUGCGUCGGAGGUUAAUUUAGCAACGCUUUUUAGCGUCAACAACUAUGAAACUAAGCGUCCUCCAAAACACAAUUUAUUGUAGUGACAUUAGCAAUGUAACUGCUGCAAUCUAAACUUUUUCCUCAUAUACCUAAUUUGAAAAUGUAGUGACUAAAAUAAUAUUUUUAUACUAUGAAAACUUUCAAAAAAUUCAAAAUCACUUAUAAUUAAGUUUGCUUUUUCACACUAUAAUAUUGUGGUUACAAGCGCCAUAUAUCAGAGAAGUAAGUAGCCACAUUAAGAAACUGACGAUAAUAAUUUUUUAAAGAGACAACUUUGUAUUGGCAAAAUAGUCAUUUCACGCGUUCACCAUUAAAAAUCUAACGAGAGAUCAAACGGUAGGAACAAACAUAAACGUAUUAGAAGUUUUAGACGGAUACACUUACAAAUUAUAAAACUUUUAAAAAAAUAAAUCUAAUCACUUAAUUAAACUUCUAUAGAAAUUUAUCUAUUGCUCAAUAUCUUUGUAGCAAGCCAUACGAAAUUAAUGCUUUUAUUAACAUACGAAGAACAUUUGCACGAUUCUUCACAUUCAACUAUUAUUUUAGUCGACUCGCACACAAUCACAUCCAAAUUAUUAAUUUUAUGGUAGACUGAACACACUCACAUGCACCCAAUUAAAGUUGCAAUUAAAUGACCGGCACACCAACUCUAUACUAAAGCUAUCCGCGCGCGCUCACACUUUCCACGCUACUAGCUAGUACUCCACACUGUGGCUUGGUGUGUGAGGACCUCACACCAAUUUGUAGGCAUGCAUCCAACGUCUGUUCGGACACAACUAAUUAAUUCCCAGGAUGAUAGUAAGAGCAGACGGUGUAGACGGUUUGCAGGAUGGUGAGAAUAAGAAGGACAGCUGCUGCGAACAAAGAAAGGAUGGCCCAUGGGUUGCUGAAAUAGUCCCUGACCAGCUUCGCCCUCCACUUGGGCCAAGGGUAACCACAGUACUCCCUCACGUCCCGGAACAGUUGGGCGAGGUAGUGGUCAUCGUAAUCGAUGUAGGCCAAGUCGGAGAGCUGGUUGAAGAAGACCGCCAGCUCCUCGUCGCUCGCCAGAUUGUUCUCCAGGAUUCCGCGCUGGUGGAGUACCGCCACAUCUUCCCGCUUGUCUAUGAGGCAGUUCAUGAACAUGGCGUAGCUUGUCAUGUAAGCCUUACCAUCCUUGCACCCGCUGCACUGCUCGAAGGCCACGAGGUUCGAGAAGCGAACUAGGGUGGAGGGCUCCACCGAGAGGAAAGGGAUCUCGAGCACGCCGUCCUCAAAUGCUACAUCUAAGAAGGAACUAAGACGAUUCUCAUGAGUCUCAUUCUCAUUCUCAUUAUUCUUCUUCUUCUUCUUCUUCAUCUUCUUCUUCUUAAUUGUCACUCCGGCGUCCAGGAGCUCGGUAGCUGAUGGAAUCGUCCUCGGAAAUCUUUUCUCAUCCCCAUCCUUUGGAUCAGUUCGCAGUUUCGAGUGAUCAGUUUGUGGUGCCGUGACAUAGCACUCGUAGUAGAGAUGCAAUAAGUGAUCAAAGUUUUUCGCUUCCCAUUUUUGGGGCUCUUUUGUUUCUUCCUCUGGUUUCUUCGUUCCUUGCUCGGGGCUCCAAAAAUGGGAAGCAGCAAGCCAAAAAUGGGAAGCAAGCCAACAAGUGCCGCAAUUGGCUUGCUUCCCAUUUUUGGAGCUCUUUGUUUCUUCCUCGGGGCUCUCGACGCUCAUGCGUGUCAGGUAGUAUACAAGAAGCUCCAUCAGAGAAUAAGGUAUACUGCUGUCCGAGGUGGACUUGAGGCGUUCGAACAACUUGUCGAGCACACAGAAGGGGAUUUGGUUCUCAAGCAAGAGCAAAUCAUCGUGAACCAACGACAAGCUCCAUUUCGAAGCGAAAGAGCUGUCGCCAAACCCUAGCUUCCACUUGAUGAGGAACUCGAGGAUGAAGCACCCGUCGAGAAGCAGCAUCUCCGCAAACUCAACGGGGUUGAGCUCGACCUGCUCGAAGUAGCACCCCCGCACAUCCGGCACCAAUUUCUGGAUCUCAGCUCCGUAGUCCUCGAUGGUGCUGCAGUUGGGAGAGGGCAAUUGCUGGAUCUCGUCGACGUUGUCCUCGAUGGUGCAGUUGCUGCUGUGAGAGAGGAAUUCCUGGAGGUAACGCCGUUUAAGCAACUCCAUCGCCCGGAGGGAGGGCUCAUCAUCGCGGCGACCGUAGGGGCCGAUUGCGACCGUUUGGGGCUCGUACAGGUGCUUGUUGCGCUGCCGGAUGAGGGCCGGGGCGCGGAAGAUGGUGCACUUAUCCGAGGCCAUCGACUCCUUGCUUAAAACACUGAGUUUCCCCCAGGGGGAGCUCAGCAGGGGCUCGCAAAUAUCUGCUGCUGAUUCUCCUUCCGCUCCUUCCAUCGUUAUCUUAUUGCAAAGUUUCUCAAGCUAGAUCUGGCCAAUUUAUUGGUGCCCAAAAAAAUUGGGUGGAAAAAGGUUUCCUCAUCCGGCUUAUUUAUAGCCGUAGUAGCUGAAUAGCUUCCUAAACAGAGCCACAUCAGUAAUAACAAGUCAAUCAUAUUUUUUAUUUUAAAAAAAAAAAUUAAUAAAAAUACUUUUUUUAUAAUCAGAAUGUAAUGGAUUAAUUUAAAGAAAUUUAUUUGAUUUAUUGGAGACACAGACUUAACCAAUUUAUCCAAUGUAUUAUAAAAUUUUUCCCCUGGAUCGGACAAAAAUUACUUGGAGACUGGAAAUCCGGAUUUAUACAUUUUGACUCAGCCUGAGCCGCCGCUAUUUGGACGUGGGAUUUCACAUCUCAACUUACAUUUUUUUCUUUGCUCUUGAUUGCUUUUUCUGUGAUAGCAAUAUUUGAUAAUAAAAAUAAUCCGAUAUGACUAAAACCAGUUGAAGAAUAUCUUGUAUCACGCAUAAAAAAUAUACCUAUAUUAAUUUGUACUAAUUUAAUAAUUGUGAUUUUGAGAGGUAGUUCACCUACAUUUGUACUAUUUUAAUAAAUGUGUGUUGUAGAGUGAUCAGCCAUUAUUUGUUCCGUCGAGAAAAAAUCAGAACAAUUUUGAUUUUUUUUUUUUUUUUAAUUUUAGAUUUGAGAGCGUUUUGCACAUUUCACUUAUCUAUAUAUCCAUCCUAUCAUCUAUUAUCUCCUCAUCUUAUAUCCAUCCUAUCAUCUAUUAUCUCCUCAUCUUAUUUGUAGUAGUCAACACCACCUGGUGCCAUUGUAGUCCUCAUAAGUAAUUGGCACAUAAAAAAAAUUGAUUCAAACAUACAAAGCUUAUAUCAUUUUAAAUCAGUUAUUUGAUCUUUAAAAAUUUUAAUUUUACUGCCUAAUCUUUCAGUCUGUUUGAUUUAAGUUAGCAAAUAAUAUUUUAACUUCAAAAUUUUAACUUUAUUAUUUAAUUUAAUAAAUUUAUAAUUAUGAUAAAUAUAUAAAGUAUAUUACCUAAAUAUGUUAGAAUUAACGAUGUAUUCAUAUUUUAGAAUCAAAAUGCUGUUGAUCGACUCAAAACAAAUUAACAAUAUUAAAUAGCGAAAUUAAAAUUUUGAAAGAUGGAAAAGGCAAUUCAAAAUAUUUUAUAAUUUAGAAAAGUUUAUAAGUUUUUGUCUAGAAAAAAAAUUAAAGAAAAAUGUCUCCCUAUAAGAACCUUGUUAUGGGACAACUAAUAGUAUAGGAUGGUUACAUUCCGAAAAAGAUAGCUGACUCCUCGGCGCAUCGAAGACAUCUCAACAAGUCAGUUUGGCAAAUUUGCUUCUUUUUUUUUUUUUUUUAUAAAAGAAGGAUAAUUAGGAUAAAGAAAAUGGGGCCCUGAUGAUUUAUUUUAAGGAUAAAUGCUUCGUGUACCCAAAAUUUGUCCCUCAAAAUUUUUUUUAUUUACCUUUAUUUGUUUUUUUUUUUGGACGGAUUGGAAGGCAAUCCAACUAGAGCGUAUUUUAAUUCUCUAGUUCUAUUAUUUUUGUAUAUUGUAAUGCGUUGACAGUAAUAAUGCAUAAGUUUUAAUUAACUCAUACAUGCAAUUAAUAUGCUAUAUAAAUUUAUUAUAAUACUGUAGUAGCACUUAAAUAAAUAUUAUUGUUUGGAUUUAUGAAAAAACAUGUGAUCCAAAAGAGAAAAAAAGAAACAAAAUUAUAAUUUAGUGAAACUAAUACAUUUUGUACUAUACUUCAUAACUUAUAAAAAUAAAAUAAAAUAUUUUUUUAUUUCUUUCCUACAAAUAGAUUUUAAAUAAGACUUAUAACUUACAACUUUAUCAGAAUUAAGGGUAUAGUUGUUUUGGUCGAAGUCGGAGUUAAUUGGAAUGGCUAAAUUUUCAUAACCAGAGUUUGUAGGCAUUCAAACGAAAUCGGGGGAAUAGCAUUUCGUGCAGCCUACACGGUUCAUACAUGUGAAUCCGUUUAGCAAUAAAUUCAAGUAUGGUAUGAACUCGCAAGCACGAAGUCGAACCCCGUAGUAGAGAUAGAACUCGUCGAGUUCAAUGGGAUAUAUUUUUGUUUUAUAAAACAUUCGCUAAGAUAUAUCUAAGCUUAGUAGUAGAAUAAGGAUCAGCACUAAUUACUAGAAUGAGAUGGAUAAAGUAUACAUACAAUAAUUUCUACAAAAAUACCCCAAACACAGAUUUUUCUUAAAGCUAAUAAUUAUUUAUACUACCAUAAUGAAUUGUGCUACCUAAACACUCAUCAGGGAAACAUUGGGUACAUUUUGGCGUCCACAUAACUAUUUUGCUCAUAUUUAUGAUGGAUUGGACAACGACGAUAAAGGAGUGGGCCGAGUGGCUUGGAGCUGUAUGCUGUAGGCCACAGGUGUAUUUUGAUUUAUAUAUUUUAAAAAAAUUAAAAAAUUAAAACCAUAUGGAAUUUGCUCAAAUUACAAUUGAUGGUCUAAUUUUUUUUUAAAAGAAGAACAAAAAUAGAGUAUUGAUAUAAAGUAGAUUGAUUUUUUUUUUUCUUUUUUGUGUAGCUCUCGAAAAGAAAAAAAAAAGGAGAAAUUUUACUGCUUGAGAAUUUACUUUGUUAUCCUCUAUAAUUGGUUUUAAUUUAUCAAGAAUAAAAAUGAAGCCAAAAUCGGCCAAGCGAUUCAACAAAUAUAGAUAAAACUUCAGUAGGAGCUCCCAACGACACAUUGUUGGAAGUCCUUAAUUUGCCGACACGUGUUAGUUUUAUCUUUCUUUGAUAAUUCAUUAGGUUUUUUUAAUAUUCAAAUUAAAAAAAAAAAUUCUAAAAAAAAAAUUAUAACGUUUGAACAAAUAUAAAAAUGAUAUAUGACGAUAAAUUAAGACUAUUUAGCGAGAUGUUAUUGGAAGCUGCCCACUAAAGUUUCUUGUAAUAAUUAAUACUCUUUUGAUGAAGGGCGUUCCCACGUGCACACGGGACCCCUCCCUAAUUGAACAGUCCUCAUCAAUUUUGCCAGCCAAAUCGACAAGAAUAUCACAACUCUUUUAUCAAAUUAGUCAAAAUUUAUUAGCAAAACUAAUUACUUAGCUAAAUACAUUAAAAAAAAAACAAAUUGGCCGUCUUGUAUAAAUUACGAUUCAAAUGUUUAUGUAACCAAUUUGAGUUUUGAAACUCAAAUGAUAAAAUUAUAAUUUCUAUAAGAUUCUAAUAAUUUUUAUUUUUUUAAAAAAAUUGAUGGGGAAAAAAUAAGAGAAAAUUACAUCAUUGCCAUCGCCUUGUAAUUAACACUUGGAAAGGCAUUAGAGCAAAUCCUUAUCAGGGGGUUCGCCUAUCAGUUUUUGCCCACAUGUUAGUUUUAAAUUCUAAUGGUCAAAUUUAUUACACCGUUCUAGGGUUAGUUACACAUGUGCAAAUCUUUUAGUUUGUACCCAAUAACUAUUUUAUAAUAUACUAGUAUAGUUAUCUGCACGAUGCAGCGGGUAGACACUAUCGAAACAAUCAUUAUUUCUAUAAACUAAUUAAUAUUAGUUUAAAUUGAAACUAAUAUUAAAUAAAACUUUUUUUACAAACAAAAUUUUCAUUCUCUUUAUUAAAUAAAAACUAUUAAAUUAAAAUUGUAACUAUUAAAUAAAAAACUAUUAAAGAUGACAUUUUCAUAUUUAUUAACUCAACAAUCUAUAUAAUCAAACUCAAUAGUUUAGUGAAAAAAAUAAUAAGAUUAUAAGAAAGGACAAAUACAAAAUUUACAAUUUGAUUACACAUAACAACUCAAAUAAAAAAAAUUGUUACAAGUUCAAGCGAGUGUUAAUUGAAAAUUAAAUAAAAUUGAGGGCCUAUUUCAAAUGGCCUAUAGAGAAUCUCUCAGUAAAUAUUUUUACCAAUCCUUUUUAAUAUUUAAAAAAAAAAAACCAAACAAAGCCAAACCUGCACAUCUCCCAGCCCAAUUGUGCUCUUAUGCCUGGCGAAAUCUUAAUAAGUGAAUGAGCCCUGAAACCCCACAGAAGCAAUUCAGUGAACACCUCAUGAGCAUCUACUACAAACCAAUCUGAAUUAUAACAGAGAUGUAUAACUUGAGUUACCUCUAACAUAUAUGUAACAGUCUCAAAUCCUGAAAAAAAAAAAAAAGCAUAAUUAAACACAGCAACACCUGAGCAGAAGCAAAUACCCUAUAACAUAAGACCAUGGAUAAUAAGUUGUGAUUUUUCAAAACCAACCUCUAUGAGGAUGAUUAGGAAAUCCAGCGGGAGGAGAAACUGCAACAAAACAAAUUGUAAUUCAAGCGAAAAAAAAUCCCAACUUAAAAGAAAAGGAACAGUUGAGAAAAAUCAAGCAAAAUUUGGAAGAAUUUAAUGAUAAAAAUUCUAAAUUUUUUAUCCAAAUCGAAAAAAAAAAGAUUUUCACAUUUUUCCAAAAACCAAAAUAUCUUCAAAUUUAUCCAGGAGAAGGAAAGGAUCCAAACUUUUCAGUUCAGGCUUGCAAAUCACAUAAACCCCAUCAAAUUAACACCCAAAAUAGAAAAUCAAAAUGUACAUAUAUAAAAAAAAGAAUGAAUUUACGAAAAUGACUUUUUCUCUUUCACAAGAAAUAAUUGAUUCAUCUGAAAGUUCGAUCUUAGUCAUUUAAUGAAUUACAAACUUUUAUGAGAAUUACCUUCCAAUGCUUCUCCUCACGAUGGUGUCUUGUCCAUGAAAGAAAAAUUAGCAAAAUAAUAAAAGAAUGAAAUGGUGACUAUGAAAAGAUAAAAAACGUAUUGGUAUAGUAAUCAAUUAUGAUUAUAAUUACCAUGAAACGUUAAUGUAGAUUAUCAUUAAUUCAUGAAAUGUUAAUAGAUAUACCGGAGAGGAGAGGAGAGGGGAGGGGAGGGGAAGGGUGGGGGAGAUGAAGAGAUGCCUAAUACGGUGAGAAUUAAAGGAAAGAGAAUUAAUACGUUAUUGGGGAUUAAUAAAAUAGGUAUAGAUAUAGAUUAUUUAUCUAAUAAUCUAAGAAUGAAGGGUUUCUUGUCACGUGGCAAAAAAUAUUAUGAAUUCAUUAUGUUUAAU